This is a long non-coding RNA of Triticum aestivum (bread wheat), 2153 nucleotides long. RefSeq lists it as uncharacterized. The transcript has 3 exons. The record is from RefSeq and is a predicted model, not a curated record. Lineage: Eukaryota; Viridiplantae; Streptophyta; Magnoliopsida; Poales; Poaceae.
AAACAAACUGCCCACCCCUUCUCUGACUCUUGAGCGAGGGCUAGGUCUCCUGCACCCGCCGCCGCCACAUAUGAUCUCCGGCGACAGGAGAUCCUGCCCUCCGGUGGAUUGGCUUCACCCUCCCCCGUAUCCCCACCGUAUCCCCAGUCCCUUCGCCGCUUUCCCGCACACUGUCCCGACGCCACUCCCACCCACGCCCACCGAUGCUGCCCCUCCCACCUCGCCCCUCCCCCGUCCCCAAAUCCGCGCCGACGCCACUCUCACAUGAGCCCCUGGUGGGUACUGCUCCUUCCUCCUCGCCCCGCCCAUGUCCCCAAAUCCUCCCCGGCGCCACUCCCCGAGGAGCCCUGGUGGGUCGCUACCCGACACCUUUUUUGCCUCGAAUUCAAUCGUGGGUUCACCCGGGUGUGCCUCUUUCUCCAUGUGUUUUGAGUUUUGAGUUCCAGGCGAGGAUUGUGCCCGGGGGGAUCCAGACGACGUCGCGGUGCACCCGACCGAGGACGAGCUCGUGUGUGCCACGGCCAAGGGGUGCAGAUUGUGAAAUCUUGGUGCCAUCUAGGUGAAAUGUCUGUUCAAGCACUGUCCAGCAGUUUGAGAUCUCGGUCAAUGUGGAGGUGCCCUGCCAUGACAUGAUGUUAGAUGCAGCAACUACGACUAUGGUUGCGUCUGUGGCUGGCAAAAAAGGCAGCCGAGACAUCCUUGGAGUAAAGUUUACAAGGUAAUCAUGAGCUGAUUUUCUAAUGUGCGUGAUGUCACACUGGAGAAUGUUGGUGGUCUUGAUUUGUUGAAGAAACAAAUUGACUGGUGCAUUCUUCACUGUAUAAAGCACCCCAAUGUUUACAAGGUAAUCACAUAAGUUGUGUUAUGCGCCAUGUUCUUCUGUUUGUUGUGUUAUCUGGUCAUCACAGUGAUUAGUAGUUUAAAAGUUUAAGUGACCUCUGAAUUCGUCCUAAAGGUGGUCUAUAGACAUUUGUGCUUCUUAUAUGCAUUUUAUAAGUUGUAGCAGGGCACCUGAAUGCUUAAAAUACUAAGUAUUCAUAAUUGUUUUCAUGCUCCCCUUUUUUUUGUCUGCCUUUGAAGGAUUUGAGUGAACUUGCAAGUUGGUUUCUGCUGUUUGGACCUUCAGGCUAUGGAAAGACACAAAUGGCAAUUGGUUUUGAGAUUGUCAUAUUAUUAAUGCUAGAUUUCUUUUUUGUAUAGAAUGUUGAGAUGUUACCUUUUCCUGAGCUGUUGAACAAGUAUAUUGGGGAGAGUGAAUCAGGAGCACACUGGCGGAUCAGGAACGAGUGGUGCUGGAUGGACGAGAACUACGCUUCAAUUGCAUCAGAAGCACACUGGCAAGGAUGGCUCCUCCCAGUUUGAGAGAUUCGCGUGGUGAUCACUGAUACACAGCUGCAGCCAGAGGUGUUGUCCAUAGGUGAAGCAUCAACCUGCCAUUUGUGAGCCGUUAGGAGCUGCUGCGUCGCACUGCCAGAGUGAUCGCCGUCGUUGUUUGCCGGAGCAGAGCCAUGCCUGUCAUGCGCGUCUCGCUGGAUUAAAGCCACGGCUGUAGUCAAACACACUGACAACGGUGCUAUGAGGAAUGAAGGACAACCUGGACGUUGGAUGUCAGGGCAGGGUUGAGGUAGAGGAACUUGAAUGUAUCUUCGAGCAGGACGGCGGUCAGUCAGUUCGGCCUGGGUGCUGAGUGUCGACCCUCUCGUGUGCAACAACUGUAGGAUGACGUAGAGCUUCAAGAUGGGGCGAUAGCAGGAUGUUGCGGAGCUUGGUGAGAUCGAGGCCAUGUUGUGGAGGCAGGCUGGACGGCUAGAGGACAGACUGGACCAGAGGUACGGCGAGGGUAGCAUGGCCUGGUUUUGCGAGAUGUUAGGCUCAAAUGAAGGCCAAUUAGUAGUGCAAAAAAUAAAUGAAUAGUUAAGAACAGAGAUGCAUGUUGCUUCACGCGCAUUGGAUCAUUUCCGAGGUUCUGGGAGAGGGGAUUAUGAGUGGCGAUAGGUAUGCAUAUGUAAAUGCCAGUUGGUUGACAAGAACGGAAUGUGUGUGUCAGACUGAUUGCUACAAGUUCAAAAUGAAUUUACCAUGUUACCAAGAGGUGGUACAGAAAAAACGCUUUCUUGUACGCGGUACCUCAAAGUUUCCCCCCUGCUUUUUAA